RNAcentral lists this ribosomal RNA (292 nucleotides) under uncultured bacterium. Its description in RNAcentral is "partial 16S ribosomal RNA". It matches the Rfam family "Bacterial small subunit ribosomal RNA", at positions 505 to 796 of the family's 1533-position model. The record is from RNAcentral.
GUUUCAGCCGCCGCGGUAAGACAGAGGGUGCAAACGUUGCUCGGAAUCACUGGGCGUAAAGGGCGCGUAGGCGGGGAUGUAAGUCGGGCGUGAAAUCCCUAGGCUCAACCUAGGAACUGCACUCGAAACUGCGUUUCUUGAGUAUCGGAGAGGAAAGCGGAAUUCCUGGUGUAGAGGUGAAAUUCGUAGAUAUCAGGAGGAACACCAGUGGCGAAGGCGGCUUUCUGGACGGUAACUGACGCUGAGGCGCGAAAGCGUGGGGAGCAAACAGGAUUAGAUACCCCUGUAGUCC